CUGGCCCUCAGUAGCUCUGUGACCAUGUGCGACCGAGCGUAAAGGCCUGCGUGCACCCGGGCACGAGGCGUUAGGGAGGCGUGGGGCUGACGUGCGUGAGAGCACAAGCUUCCUUGGAGCUGACUCCAGGGGCAGGGGGCAGCAUCAUGUGACAGAGCCCUGCUCUCCCCUGGUUCUGGAGAGGAACCAGUGAGGCCCUGGAGGAGUUCUCUAGCUGUGGAAGUAGACUUUCCCUAAAAUCAAAGCUGAGGCAGAGAUCAGCUGUGUGGCUAGAGUGAGCCUGCUUCUAGCCUCGCUUGCUGCUUCCCAGUUAUCUGAGACGAGUACUGUCAUGUGACUGGUGUUCAACACGCCACCAGUGGGUGCUAGGUGACUGUCAGCAUGAAGGCAGGCGGCCAGUCCACUGGGCUCCUUCUCCUGCAUUCUACUGAACAUGUGGACCGCUGGACACGUGGACCAAGCCCUUGGGGGUUUCAGUCCCCCUGGAAGAACGGACUCUGCAGCGUAAUGCCGGCUGGGGCUUGAAUUUAUCUACAUACAAGUGAAGAGCUCUACCCUGUCCAAAGGGAGGCCUGGCCUUUGCCCCCAGCUUCCAGAAAGUGCUGCCCAAGGGGAGGAUUUUCAUUUAGGGAGAGAGUUGGCCACACAGGAUGAAUCAACAAUAUGGUUAUGGGCUUUGACCCAAGCAUAAGCAUCUGGACCUUGGAAGGUCUGAAGGACUGGUACUGGCUUCACAGGCAGCGAGUAGGAAACCCCAAUCCACACUCUAGGUAGCAAGGCAGGGGACGAUGCUCUGUGUGAGUUGGCACAUGGUAGAGUGGUGGGUGCCAGCUGGGACUCCAUCUGCAGAGGACAGUAGACAGCUCCGUGGGGAUCCUCCUGGCUGCACCCACCCUACUCUUCCCUGGCUGGGUUUUUCCUGUGACUGUGAGGGUGGCAGAGGUCCCAAUGAGUUCUUAAAUAUGAGGGUGGCUUUGGGGAUCCCUAGCUUUGCAAUUGGAGGUGUGGGUGUGGCCUGAUAGACUAUUUCCUAUUUUAACAGCACUGUAUUACCUCCAUUAUGGCAGCUCCCUGCUGCCAUACCUCCAUGCAUAUCACACGCACACAUGCAAGAACACAUGAGUGCACACACACACACACACACACACACACACACACACACACACACACUGACCGAGAUGUCAGACCAGGCACUGCGUUGCCUGCAAGGUCUGGACCCCUCAGGCAUCUCCAAUAGAGGAGUUCAUUGUUGCCCAGCGGCCUCUCCUACAAUGCCUCACCCUCUGUCCCUCCGGGGACAGGACUUUCUUCCUGAUCUUAGCAAUGACAAGUAGGCAGGUAAUAAAUCAGCGGCCAAGGGGGUCGGCUUCUGGGCACUCUGGAGGAAGGAGGCAGGAGACUGACCUUCAGGGCUUGCUGUGGCAUGCUCUAACUUCUUCCCCCCCCAAGUCCACAGGUCUAUCCUCUGUCUAAAGCCACCAUUUCCCAGAUGCAGGGCACACGUUGUGGAGCCCUGGACACAGCCCUUCUUGCCAGAGCCACCAGCCUCGGAUGCCUUUCCAGGAUCAAAAGUUUCAGGUUCAAGUCUAAACUUAGCAGCUCUGCCGCCUGGGGUCAGAAAACAAGUUGGUCUGUGACUCUUACAUAAGCAGGUCAGACCUCUGCGGCUCCCUCAGCCCCCCAGCUCCUCCCUGAAGUUUCCUGGUCAUUAUGCCAAAGCUGCCUCUGUCAAGGACACUUACCCUUCUCUCCACACUCAAAGACCCAAACACAAACUUUAUAAUUCUAUCUGCCAGUGCAGAGAGAGAGAGACAGAGAGACAGAGGGGGAGAGAGAGAGAGAGAGAGAGAGAGACAGAGAGAGACAGAGAGAGAGAGACAAAGACAGAGACAGAGACAGAGAGAGACAGAGAGAGAGCACGCACUGAGUCUUGGGAUGACUGCCAGGUGAUCCUGCCCAGCUUGAGGAAACUGGACCCCCUGCCCAGCCUGUAGACUGCUUGUUUCUAAAGCCUUCUAUGAAAAUAAAAACCACAAAGGCCCUAAGAGAUACUAAGUCCCUAUGGUGGUUUUAAUGAGAAUGGCCCCCAUAGGCUCAAAUGUUUAAAUACUUGGUCCCCAGUUAGUGGAACUGUUUGGGAA
Peromyscus maniculatus bairdii (prairie deer mouse) is the source of this 2141-nucleotide non-coding RNA. Lineage: Eukaryota; Metazoa; Chordata; Mammalia; Rodentia; Cricetidae. The record is from RefSeq and is a predicted model, not a curated record.